CUGACACCCACCAUUAUGCAGUGGGGCUGCUGGCCAGGGAGAUGCGCCAUGUCUUGGUGCCCUUCCAUUCGCAGAUAGCAAUCCACCUGCUCGGGCUGCUCAGCAGGGAGGAGCCCCUCUGGGAGCUCCCUGCCCUGGCGUUCCUUGUAGAGAUCCUGGACUAUCUGGAUGGGACAAAGUGUCAUGAGAGGGUCCUGCUCAUCCUAUCAAGGAACCUGCAGAGCCAGUGCCC
Empidonax traillii (willow flycatcher) is the source of this 232-nucleotide long non-coding RNA. RefSeq lists it as uncharacterized. The transcript has 3 exons. The record is from RefSeq and is a predicted model, not a curated record. Lineage: Eukaryota; Metazoa; Chordata; Aves; Passeriformes; Tyrannidae.